RNAcentral lists this ribosomal RNA (775 nucleotides) under uncultured Neocallimastigales. Its description in RNAcentral is "partial large subunit ribosomal RNA". It matches the Rfam family "Eukaryotic large subunit ribosomal RNA", at positions 24 to 628 of the family's 3401-position model. Lineage: Eukaryota; Fungi; Neocallimastigomycota; Neocallimastigomycetes; Neocallimastigales. The record is from RNAcentral.
UAUCUCUGUAGAGUCUGCAUAUCAAUAAGCGGAGGAAAAGAAACUAACUAAGGAUUCCCUCAGUAACGGCGAGUGAAGCGGGAAGAGCUCAAAUUUGAAAUCUUCAAGGUUCUACCUUGACGAAUUGUAGUUUAAAGAAGUGUUUUCUGUUGGUGUUUUGGUAAAAGUUCUUUGGAAUAGGACAUCAUAGAGGGUGAGAAUCCCGUAUUUGACCAUUACUUCCAGCGUUGUGAUAGCACUUUCAAAGAGUCGGAUUGUUUGGGAAUGCAGUCCAAAAUGGGUGGUAAAUUUCAUCUAAAGCUAAAUAUUGGCGAGAGACCGAUAGCGAACAAGUACCGUGAGGGAAAGAUGAAAAGAACUUUGAAAAGAGAGUUAAACAGUACGUGAAAUUGUCAAAAGGGAAGCGUUUGACACCAGUGUUGUUUUCUCGAAAAUCAAUUAAAAAAGGCAGGAUUUUGUGUUGUAUUGACUUUAUCAGCUUUCUGCACUCUUUUCUUGUCUUUUUUAAUGCACUUUUCGUUUAACAAGUCAACAUCAAUUUCUUUUGUUGUAAAAGAGUCAUUGGAAGGUGGCUUUCACUUCGGUGAAAGUGUUUAUAGCCUUUGGCCUCUGCAAUCGGAGAGAUUGAGGUCUGCAGCGUAGAUCCUUCGGGGUUAGAUACAUUUGUGCUAAGUUAUAGCCUUUCAUAGACAACUUGUUGACUAUGAUCAGUCAUGUAGCUUACUCGCUUAUGCUAUUUUACCUACGCUUAGGAUGUUGACGAUCAGCUGAGCGC